RNAcentral lists this ribosomal RNA (253 nucleotides) under uncultured organism. Its description in RNAcentral is "partial 16S ribosomal RNA". It matches the Rfam family "Bacterial small subunit ribosomal RNA", at positions 524 to 776 of the family's 1533-position model. The record is from RNAcentral.
GACGAACCGUGCGAACGUUGUUCGGAUUCAUUGGGCAUAAAGGGCGCGUAGGCGGUUUGCAAAGUCAAGGGUGAAAUCUUUCGGCUCAACCGGAAAAGUGCCUUUGAUACUGGCAAACUAGAGCGAGGUAGGGGCAGAUGGAACUUCCGGUGGAGCGGUGAAAUGUGUUGAUAUCGGAAGGAACGCCGGUGGCGAAAGCGAUCUGCUGGACCUCUUCUGACGCUGAGGCGCGAAAGCCAGGGGAGCAAACGGG